RNA transcript from Melospiza melodia melodia, 2924 nucleotides. It is a transcript of the gene named eukaryotic elongation factor 2 lysine methyltransferase, with no coding region annotated. The transcript has 9 exons. Lineage: Eukaryota; Metazoa; Chordata; Aves; Passeriformes; Passerellidae. The record is from RefSeq and is a predicted model, not a curated record.
CCCGGCCGUGUGUGCUCCGGGGCCAUGGCCGAGCCGUGCCCGGGCCUGGCCCUGCGCUUCCAGCGCCGCUUCCUGGCGGCGCGGCCGCUCCGCUCGCUGCCCUGGCCGGAACUCGAGCAAAGCCUGCGGACCGCGCCGGACUCCGCGCUGCUGGCGGAUAUUCUGCACAAGACAAUUCUUCACCCUCUGUGUGUGAAAUAUCCUCCUUCAGCCAAGUACAGGAGGUGCUUCCUGACUGAGCUCAUCAAAAAGCUGGAAUCCACAGCUGCUGAACCCCUGGAUGAACUCUAUGAGGCACUGGCAGAUGUUCUGAAAGAAGAAGAAGAAUCUACUCACUGUUACAAAAACUACUUACUGCCCUCGGGGGACUGUGUGAGCCUCUGUGAGAGCACAGCGCUGAUCUCCGGGGGCACCACGGGGCUCCUCACCUGGGAGGCUGCCCUGCACCUGGCCCAGUGGGCCCUGCAGAACCCCAGCCUCUUCAGGGGCAGGACAAUCCUGGAACUGGGAAGUGGGGUUGGCUUCACUGGAAUUGCCAUCUGCAAGAGCUGCCAGCCCAGGACAUUCAUAUUCAGUGACUGCCACCCCCUUGUUCUCAGCCAGCUGAGGGAGAACCUGCAGCUGAACGGCCUCAGCCUGGAGCCUGACAGGACCUGGAGCCCCCAGACAGAGUCCCAAGGACAGGAGGGAGAAGGACAGAGCUGCCAAACCCCAAAAGUGAUUGUGGCUGAGCUGAACUGGGGCUCAGUGACAGAGAAACAGCUGCUGCCUCUCAGAGCUGAUGUUGUGAUUGCAGCAGAUGUGGUGUAUGAUCCUGAGAUAAUUGUAGCCCUCAUUGAGAUGCUACAGAAACUCUCCACCUCCAGAGCAGACAGGAAAGCUCCUGAGGUGUUCAUUGCCUCCACAAUCCGAAAUCCAGCCACGUAUCAGCUGUUCCAGGCUGAGCUGGAUAAAGCUGGGAUCAGGUGGCAGGUGAUUCCAGCCCACAGCAGCUGUAAUUUUCUCUUUGAUGUGCAGCCAGAUGUAACUAUUCUACAGCUAUUUGUAUAACAGCAAAUAGAACUGGAAUUUAGAGACCAACAGGAGCUGUGUCAGCCUUGUAACAAGAUUAUCCUGAAUUGUGGAAAGGAGGUUCUGAGGAUACAGCUGGACACAUGGAGUCCUUCCUCUAAUUCCCAGCAUGGAUCCAAGCCUGCAGCUGCCCCUGGGAAGUGACUGAACCUCAAGCAACAGGAACCAAAAAGCCCCAAUCACACUUCACUUGGAUUCUGUAGAAGACAGCAGAAUUCAAGCAGGGAUUUUUCCCAACUCUGUUGUGAUUUUGGCUGCUGGGAAUCCAGGCAGGGCUGGCAGUGGAAAAGGAAUCUCUCUCCAUAGCAGUGUUCCAGGGAUCCUGCAAAAAGGACUGAGCUCCCUGCUCUGAAACCUCCCAUCAUCAUUCAUCCCUCUCCUGUUGGGCAGCACUGGUCCUGAAGCACAAACAUUAAAGUGAUGCUCAUUCUUCUCUUUUAGCUUCCUUUUCUCUACUAAAAACUACUUAAAAUGAAAUGAAAACACUUCAACCUCCUCCUUCUGUAGCAAUGGAGAGAAAACUGAUGAUACCUAACUUGAAACCUGAAGAAUCUUCUUAUUCUUCAAGCUUAAGGAGACCACGACUGCUGGGAUCAAGCAGAACCCCAGGCCAGGUUUUGGCUCCCUGUGCCCAAAAAGAACUCAAAGUUGUUAUUUCCAGAGUAAACACAAACUGGCAGCCCACACAGGAGCUCCUUUAUCUCCCCUCACACAAAAUUCAAGACAAAGGUUCUGUAUAGAGCUCGUUUUGGAUCUAAAAAGUUCUGUUCUAUGAAGAGGAAACCUCUCUAAAGCCUUUGGCAUUAGUGUUUAAUCAGAAAAGUGCCUAAUUUACCUCCAUGUGCACAAGAAUGGCCAAAUCUCUAGACAGGAUUUUGACUGAAAACAGGAAAAAAACCACUAAAAAACAGGCAAAUCAAUCUUUAGGAAUCAUUCUUCAAUCCAUAAGCUGGAAGUUUUGCCGAAUUCCUGCAGUAAAGCAACUUGACCCUAUAUUUACCUUUUCUCUUUUGACAAAAGCAGAUAUUCAAGAGUUGCUCAGAGUUUAAAACUGCUGGUUCAGAGCCCAGUCCUCACUCCCAGCCUGAAGCAGGAGCUCUGUGAGAAGCAGUAAACACAUUCCAAGCCAAGUUACCAAUGACUGACAUCUGUUUUAUCAUCAAAAAGUUGAUGAAAAAAAUCUUGUAAGCAUUAGGCUUGCAUGUGAAUACUGAGCUUAACAAAAAGCUGAAGGCUGUACCUGAGUAAGCACUCACAAAGCAAAGUGCCUUUUGACUAAGUUAUACAUACUUUGUUCAUGUAUUUUGGGUUUAUUUUUCCCUUUUCUGUUCAAGGAGAUAGGAAUUUUAGGUCCUUUCCCAAGGUAAAUGGGCACAUUCAUUUCAGAGUACAGGGACAACACUCACUGCAAGCUCUGCUUUGCUCCAAGUGCCCAGUAAAGCUGUCACACACCAGUGCUGUGCUUCCACACCCUUGCACACAUUGUCAAAAGGAAAAACAACUUGGAAACAAAAUGGUUCUGUCCCAAUAAAUCCACACAGGAAUAUUCAGUGCUCGGGCAAUUACUGGCCAUCAAACUGACCAGAUUAAAUGAAACAAUUCCAAUGAAAAGCAUCUGCCAUGUGCCAAAGAAACCAUACCCAAAUCACCUACUGAGGUGCUGACUGUACAGGAUGUGAAGCUGGUCAUAGUUUCUAUCUGUAUUCAAGGAUCUUCACCAAAAGAAGCAGCACAGGUUCUCACACAACAAACAGCUCAGCACCUCCAGCACCUCCUACUCACCCAGGAAGCUGAAACUGUACAGGAAGAGUGGGAGAGCCAAGAAAAGGAGUUAGAAACUCUAAGUGCAGACA